RNAcentral lists this ribosomal RNA (381 nucleotides) under uncultured Methanosaeta sp. Its description in RNAcentral is "bacterial SSU rRNA". It matches the Rfam family "Archaeal small subunit ribosomal RNA", at positions 959 to 1338 of the family's 1478-position model. Lineage: Archaea; Methanobacteriati; Methanobacteriota; Methanomicrobia; Methanotrichales; Methanotrichaceae. The record is from RNAcentral.
CUGAAGACCUUACCCGACUUAGCUGAGAGGUGGUGCAUGGCCGUCGUCAGUUCGUACUGUGAAGCAUCCUGUUAAGUCAGGCAACGAGCGAGACCCACGUCCACAGUUGCCAGCAUACCCUCCGGGGUGAUGGGUACACUGUGGAGACCGCCGCUGCUAAAGCGGAGGAAGGAGUGGGCAACGGUAGGUCAGUAUGCCCCGAAUCUCCCGGGCUACACGCGGGCUACAAUGGUUGGUACAAUGGGCAUCUACCCCGAAAGGGGAAGGAAAUCUCUUAAAGCCAAUCGUAGUUCGGAUUGAGGGCUGCAACUCGCCCUCAUGAAGCUGGAAUCCGUAGUAAUCGCGUUUCAACAGAACGCGGUGAAUACGUCCCUGCUCCUU